This 428-nucleotide ribosomal RNA is filed under the name uncultured anaerobic ammonium-oxidizing bacterium. RNAcentral describes it as "bacterial SSU rRNA". It matches the Rfam family "Bacterial small subunit ribosomal RNA", at positions 383 to 810 of the family's 1533-position model. The record is from RNAcentral.
GUGAUCAAGCGACGCCGCGUGCGGGACGAAGGCCUUCGGGUUGUAAACUCCUGUCGAGGGGGAACAAGGGGCGGUGCAGAGCCGUCCUUGAGUGAUCCCUGGAGGAAGCACGGGCUAAGUUCGUGCCAGCAGCCGCGGUAAGACGAACCGUGCGAACGUUAUUCGGAAUCACUGGGCUUAAAGCGCGUGUAGGCGGGCCGGCACGUCGAUGCUGAAAUCCCCCGGCUCAACCGGGGAACUGGCGUCGAUACGACCGGCCUGGAGGGGGGUAGGGGGAGCCGGAACUUCCGGUGGAGCGGUGAAAUGCGUUGAGAUCGGAAGGAACGCCCGUGGCGAAAGCGGGCUCCUGGACCCCACCUGACGCUGAGACGCGAAAGCCAGGGGAGCGAACGGGAUUAGAUACCCCGGUAGUCCUGGCCGUAAACGAU